RNAcentral lists this ribosomal RNA (468 nucleotides) under uncultured bacterium. RNAcentral describes it as "partial 16S ribosomal RNA". It matches the Rfam family "Bacterial small subunit ribosomal RNA", at positions 28 to 507 of the family's 1533-position model. The record is from RNAcentral.
GACGAACGCUGGCGGCGUGCUUAACACAUGCAAGUCGAACGGAAAGGCCCUGCUUUUGUGGGGUGCUCGAGUGGCGAACGGGUGAGUAACACGUGAGUAACCUGCCCUUGACUUUGGGAUAACUUCAGGAAACUGGGGCUAAUACCGGAUAGGAGCUCCUGCUGCAUGGUGGGGGUUGGAAAGUUUCGGCGGUUGGGGAUGGACUCGCGGCUUAUCAGCUUGUUGGUGGGGUAGUGGCUUACCAAGGCUUUGACGGGUAGCCGGCCUGAGAGGGUGACCGGCCACAUUGGGACUGAGAUACGCCCCAGACUCCUACGGGAGGCAGCAGUGGGGAAUAUUGCACAGUGGGCGGAAGCCUGAUGCAGCAACGCCGCGUGCGGGAUGACGGCCUUCGGGUUGUAAACCGCUUUCGCCUGUGACGAAGCGUGAGUGACGGUAAUGGGUAAAGAAGCACCGGCUAACUACGUG